AUUCAAGAAAAGGAUCCAAGUCCAACCUUAAGUUUUCUUUAACCCCUAAUAAUAUCUUAAACUUAAGAGCCACUCAAAUAGGGUACAGCCUAUUUGAAACAGGGCACAACCUAGAACACAGGGUAAUGACUUUUUCACGUGACCAAGUAGGCCUGAAAGCAGCCACCUUUAAAAAAGCGUUAAAGCCUAACCACCUCCACCAUAAAAUACCAUUUAUUCCCCAAAACCCUUAACCCCUAUUGAAUUAUUCCAUAUUUUAUGGAAAAACUCAUGCUAGAACUAGUAACAAGAAAAGAAUUUCUCCAAAAUGUAAGCAAAAGCCUUUAUGAACCCUCAUCGGCAUUCAAAGUAAAUGAACCCAAAGUAAUAACUUCCAAGAGAAUCUUACUAACUUUAACGUCAACCUUACACCAGAACACUACCGGAAAGAUUAAAAAAAGAGGAAGGAACUCGGCAAACCAUAACCCCGCCUGUUUACCAAAAACAUCGCCUCCCGACCCCAUGGGAGGUCCAGCCUGCCCAGUGAUAAUUAUUAAACGGCCGCGGUACCCUAACCGUGCGAAGGUAGCGCAAUCACUUGUUUCCUAAAUAGGGACUAGUAUGAACGGCAUCACGAGGGUUACACUGUCUCCCUCUUUCAAUCAGUGAAACUGAUCUCCCCGUGAAGAAGCGGGGAUAGACCUAUAAGACGAGAAGACCCCAUGGAGCUUUAAACUCAACAUCUAACUAUUUUUACCACACCAUGUUAACUAAAUAGCCCUGAAUGCUAGUUUUUGGUUGGGGCGACCGCGGAGUAAAAUUAAACCUCCACGACGAAAGGAAACCACCCUAAUCUAAGAGCCACAGCUCGACCAAUCAACAAAUUGACGUUUAUUGACCCAAUUAUUUGAUCAACGAACCUAGUUACCCUGGGGAUAACAGCGCAAUCCACUUCAAGAGCUCCUAUCGACAAGUGGGUUUACGACCUCGAUGUUGGAUCAGGGUAUCCUAGUGGUGCAGCCGCUACUAAAGGUUCGUUUGUUCAACGAUUAAAACCCU
RNAcentral lists this ribosomal RNA (1038 nucleotides) under Otophryne steyermarki. Its description in RNAcentral is "partial 16S ribosomal RNA". It matches the Rfam family "Bacterial large subunit ribosomal RNA", at positions 855 to 2597 of the family's 2925-position model. The record is from RNAcentral. Lineage: Eukaryota; Metazoa; Chordata; Amphibia; Anura; Microhylidae.